This 496-nucleotide ribosomal RNA is filed under the name uncultured bacterium. Its description in RNAcentral is "partial 16S ribosomal RNA". It matches the Rfam family "Bacterial small subunit ribosomal RNA", at positions 29 to 507 of the family's 1533-position model. The record is from RNAcentral.
AUGAACGCUGGCGGCGUGCCUAAUACAUGCAAGUCGAGCGAACAGAUGAGGAGCUUGCUCCUCUGACGUUAGCGGCGGACGGGUGAGUAACACGUGGAUAACCUACCUAUAAGACUGGGAUAACUUCGGGAAACCGGAGCUAAUACCGGAUAAUAUAUUGAACCGCAUGGUUCAAUAGUGAAAGACGGUUUUGCUGUCACUUAUAGAUGGAUCCGCGCCGCAUUAGCUAGUUGGUAAGGUAACGGCUUACCAAGGCAACGAUGCGUAGCCGACCUGAGAGGGUGAUCGGCCACACUGGAUCUGAGACACGGUCCAGACUCCUACGGGAGGCAGCAGUAGGGAAUCUUCCGCAAUGGGCGAAAGCCUGACGGAGCAACGCCGCGUGAGUGAUGAAGGUCUUCGGAUCGUAAAACUCUGUUAUUAGGGAAGAACAAAUGUGUAAGUAACUAUGCACGUCUUGACGGUACCUAAUCAGAAAGCCACGGCUAACUACGUG